This 517-nucleotide ribosomal RNA is filed under the name Harpophora sp. YQ1-1-1. RNAcentral describes it as "eukaryotic LSU rRNA". The stretch from base 131 to 284 matches the Rfam family "5.8S ribosomal RNA". The record is from RNAcentral. Lineage: Eukaryota; Fungi; Ascomycota; Sordariomycetes; Magnaporthales; Magnaporthaceae.
UGAACUCCACCCCUGUGACGUACCUUCUUUGUUGCUUCGGCGGACGAGGCCCCUCGCGGGGCGGAGGCCGCCGGAGGUUCCAAACUCUUGAUUUUUUAGUGUAUCUCUGAGCCUAAAAACAAAUAAUCAAAACUUUCAACAACGGAUCUCUUGGUUCUGGCAUCGAUGAAGAACGCAGCGAAAUGCGAUAAGUAAUGUGAAUUGCAGAAUUCAGUGAAUCAUCGAAUCUUUGAACGCACAUUGCGCCCGCCGGUAUUCCGGCGGGCAUGCCUGUUCGAGCGUCAUUUCACCACUCAAGCCCAGCUUGGUGUUGGGGCACCCGGCCGCCCGGCGGUCCGGGGCCCCCAAGUACAUCGGCGGUCUCGCCUGGACCCUGAACGCAGUAACUCGCGGUAAAACGCGCUUCGUUUGGAGGCUCCUGGCGGGCACCUGCCGCUAAACCCCCUUCUUUUAAAGGUUGACCUCGGAUCAGGUAGGAAUACCCGCUGAACUUAAGCAUAUCAAUAAGCCAGAGGAA